CCUACGGGUGGCUGCAGUGGGGAAUAUUGGACAAUGGGCGAAAGCCUGAUCCAGCCAUGCCGCGUGUGUGAAGAAGGCCUUCGGGUUGUAAAGCACUUUCAGUGGGGAAGAAAGCCUUGGGGCUAAUACCCUCGAGGAAGGACAUCACCCACAGAAGAAGCACCGGCUAACUCCGUGCCAGCAGCCGCGGUAAUACGGAGGGUGCGAGCGUUAAUCGGAAUUACUGGGCGUAAAGCGCGCGUAGGCGGUCUGAUAAGCCGGUUGUGAAAGCCUCGGGCUCAACCUGGGAACGGCAUCCGGAACUGUCAGGCUAGAGUGCAGGAGAGGAAGGUAGAAUUCCUGGUGUAGCGGUGAAAUGCGUAGAGAUCGGGAGGAAUACCAGUGGCGAAGGCGGCCUUCUGGACUGACACUGACGCUGAGGUGCGAAAGCGUGGGUAGCAAACAGGAUUAGAUACCCCAGUAGUC
RNAcentral lists this ribosomal RNA (465 nucleotides) under Vreelandella stevensii. RNAcentral's name for it is "partial 16S ribosomal RNA". It matches the Rfam family "Bacterial small subunit ribosomal RNA", at positions 338 to 795 of the family's 1533-position model. The record is from RNAcentral. Lineage: Bacteria; Pseudomonadati; Pseudomonadota; Gammaproteobacteria; Oceanospirillales; Halomonadaceae.